Molecule: ribosomal RNA, 492 nt
Filed under: uncultured bacterium
Lineage: Bacteria
Description: partial 16S ribosomal RNA
Rfam family: Bacterial small subunit ribosomal RNA
Source: RNAcentral
AGUGAACGCUGGCGGUAGGCCUAACACAUGCAAGUCGAACGGCAGCACAGUAAGAGCUUGCGCUUACGGGUGGCGAGUGGCGGACGGGUGAGGAAUACAUCGGAAUCUACUUUUUCGUGGGGGAUAACGUAGGGAAACUUACGCUAAUACCGCAUACGACCUACGGGUGAAAGCAGGGGAUCUUCGGACCUUGCGCGAUUGAAUGAGCCGAUGUCGGAUUAGCUAGUUGGCGGGGUAAAGGCCCACCAAGGCGACGAUCCGUAGCUGGUCUGAGAGGAUGAUCAGCCACACUGGAACUGAGACACGGUCCAGGCUCCUACGGGAGGCAGCAGUGGGGAAUAUUGGACAAUGGGCGCAAGCCUUAUCCAGCCAUACCGCGUGGGUGAAGAAGGCCUUCGGGUUGUAAAGCCCUUUUGUUGGGAAAGAAAAGCAGCAGGUUAAUACCCCGCUGUUCUGACGGUACCCAAAGAAUAAGCACCGGCUAACUUCGUG